RNAcentral lists this ribosomal RNA (205 nucleotides) under Symbiodinium sp. clade A. RNAcentral describes it as "partial 23S ribosomal RNA". The record is from RNAcentral. Lineage: Eukaryota; Dinophyceae; Suessiales; Symbiodiniaceae.
UUCAGUACAAAUAAUAUGCUGGUGAGCUAAGGCCACACUAAAGGACAAAAAGACCCUGGGAAGCUUUAUAGGGAUAAAAUCUAGUACACAUCCAGGCGUUUAUAAGCUGAUGGCCCCAAGAAGCGAGACGAUGACGAUAAAGAGCCAGAAGAUGCAGCGUGGUAAACACAAGACUGUUUAAUUUGGGGCGAUAAACUGUGUGAAA